CCUACGGGUGGCAGCAGUAGGGAAUAUUGCUCAAUGGGGGAAACCCUGAAGCAGCAACGCCGCGUGGAGGAUGACGGUUUUAGGAUUGUUAACUCCUUUUUUUAGAGGAGAUAAUGACGGUAUCUCACGAAUAAGCACCGGCUAACUCCGAGCCAGCAGCCGCGGUAAUACGGAAGGUGCAAGCGUUACUCGGAAUCACUGGGCGUAAAGCGGGCGGAGGCGGGUUUGUAAGUGAGAUGUGAAAUCCUGUAGCUUAACCACAGAACUGCAUUUGAAACUGUGAGUCUAGAGUGUGGGAGAGGUAGGUGGAAUUCGUGGUGUAGGGGUAAAAUCCGUAGAUAUCAAGAGGAAUACUCAUUGCGAAGGCGACCUACUGGAACAUUACUGACGCUGAUGCACGAAAGCGUGGGGAGCAAACAGGAUUAGAUAACCCUGUAGUC
Molecule: ribosomal RNA, 440 nt
Filed under: uncultured bacterium
Lineage: Bacteria
Description: partial 16S ribosomal RNA
Rfam family: Bacterial small subunit ribosomal RNA
Source: RNAcentral